Molecule: non-coding RNA, 168 nt
Organism: Theobroma cacao (cacao)
Lineage: Eukaryota; Viridiplantae; Streptophyta; Magnoliopsida; Malvales; Malvaceae
Source: RefSeq, a predicted model, not a curated record
CAAGAGAAAAAGUGUGGAAAAUCAAGGAAAACAAGUGAAAAAGGUGGUGAGUCCUCCGAUAAAGGCAAAGGAAUUGCAUCUGAGGACCAAUAGUCAAAGUACUUCGAAAAUUCGCACUCUAGACAUUGCUCAGAUUAGACUGUAGAUAGCUGAUCUCAUCGAGGACUA